This is a non-coding RNA of Phrynosoma platyrhinos (Desert horned lizard), 72 nucleotides long. NCBI's taxonomy places the organism in Eukaryota, Metazoa, Chordata, Lepidosauria, Squamata, Phrynosomatidae. The record is from the annotation of a GenBank genome assembly.
GUCAGUGUGGUGUAGUGGUUUGAGCAUUGGACUAUGACUCUGGAGACCAGGGUUUGAAUCCCUGCUCAGCCA